Molecule: ribosomal RNA, 253 nt
Filed under: uncultured bacterium
Lineage: Bacteria
Description: partial 16S ribosomal RNA
Rfam family: Bacterial small subunit ribosomal RNA
Source: RNAcentral
UACGUAGGGGGCAAGCGUUGUCCGGAUUUAUUGGGCGUAAAGAGCGUGUAGGCGGCUUUACAGGUCCGUUGUGAAAACUCGAGGCUCAACCUCGAGACGCCGGUGGAAACCGUAAGGCUAGAGUCCGGAAGAGGCGAGUGGAAUUCCUGGUGUAGCGGUGGAAUGCGCAGAUAUCAGGAGGAACACCAAUAGCGAAGGCAGCUCGCUGGGACGUUACUGACACUGAGGCGCGAAAGCGUGGGGAGCGAACAGG